RNAcentral lists this small RNA (931 nucleotides) under uncultured bacterium. RNAcentral describes it as "bacterial SSU rRNA". The stretch from base 1 to 514 matches the Rfam family "Bacterial small subunit ribosomal RNA", at positions 1020 to 1533 of the family's 1533-position model. The record is from RNAcentral.
UCAAAGACGUGAUCACAGGUGAUGCAUGGCUGUCGUCAGCUCGUGUCGUGAGAUGUUGGGUUAAGUCCCGCAACGAGCGCAACCCCUAUCCUUAGUUGCCAGCACAUUAUGGUGGGGACUCUAAGGAGACUGCCUAGGAUAACUAGGAGGAAGGUGGGGAUGAUGUCAAGUCAGUAUGUCCCUUAUGUCCAGGGCUACACACGUGUUACAAUGGUUAGUACAAAGGGUUGCAAAGCCGUAAGGUUGAGCCAAUCCCAAAAAACUAAUCUCAGUUCGGAUUGGAGUCUGCAACUCGACUCCAUGAAGUCGGAAUCGCUAGUAAUUGUGGAUCAGAACGCUACGGUGAAUACGUUCCCGGGUCUUGUACACACCGCCCGUCACGCCAUGGAAGUCAGCAGUACCCGAAUCGGGUGGCCUAACCUUCGGGAGGGAGCUCGUUAAGGUAAGGCUGGUAACUGGGGCGAAGUCGUAACAAGGUAGCCGUACCGGAAGGUGCGGCUGGAUCACCUCCUUUCUAAGGAGUACUGUGAAGAAAUUUACAGGACGGUCGAAAUUGAAUCAACAGACUCACUUGCAUACCAAAAUAUUGGGCUUGUAGCUCAGGUGGUUAGAGCGCUGCCCUGAUAAGGCAGAGGUCCGUGGUUCGAGUCCACGCAGGCCCACCAUUUAGCUGCAGUCAAGAAAUUGGGACUUUAGCUCAGUUGGGAGAGCGCCUGAUUUGCAUUCAGGAGGUCAUCGGUUCGAUCCCGGUAAGCUCCACAAGAUUUUUGCUUUUUGAAAAUUGGGAAAUUGGAUAACUGACAUUAUUUUUAAUAAUAGAUGUAGCCAAGUCAUCUUCAAGAAAGACACUUUAGUAAAGCUACUAAGGGCGUACGGGGGAUGCCUAGGCACAUGGAGGCGAUGAAGGACGUGAUAAGCUGCGAAAAGCUUC